RNAcentral lists this ribosomal RNA (427 nucleotides) under uncultured bacterium. RNAcentral's name for it is "bacterial SSU rRNA". It matches the Rfam family "Bacterial small subunit ribosomal RNA", at positions 355 to 773 of the family's 1533-position model. The record is from RNAcentral.
UGGGGAAUUGUUCGCAAUGGGCGCAAGCCUGACGACGCAACGCCGCGUGGAGGACGAAGAUCUUCGGGUCGUAAACUCCUGUCGAGCGGGAAGAACGCUUCCCGGGUGAAUAAUCCGGGGAAUUGACGGUACCGCUAAAGGAAGCCCCGGCUACCUCCGUGCCAGCAGCCGCGGUAAUACGGGGGGGGCAAGCGUUGUUCGGAAUUACUGGGCGUAAAGGGCUCGUAGGCGGCCAACUAAGUCGGAUGUGAAAUCCCCAGGCUCAACUUGGGAACUGCAUCCGAUACUGGUCGGCUUGAAUCCGGGAGAGGGAUGCAGAAUUCCAGGUGUAGCGGUGAAAUGCGUAGAUAUCUGGAGGAAUACCGGUGGCGAAGGCGGCAUCCUGGACCGGCAUUGACGCUAAACAGCGAAAGCCAGGGGAGCAAAC